Long non-coding RNA from Carassius gibelio (silver crucian carp), 526 nucleotides. RefSeq lists it as uncharacterized. The record is from RefSeq and is a predicted model, not a curated record. The transcript is spliced from 3 exons. Lineage: Eukaryota; Metazoa; Chordata; Actinopteri; Cypriniformes; Cyprinidae.
UAGAACUUGCGCUUACGCUUCCAUUUAUAGUGCAUUCAUGGUAUUAAUUUGAUCACUUUCAUGGGUUAACUGUGAAUCAUUUGUGAUAACUUUAGUCAGGUUAGAUGCAAUAUUUUAAUGUGGAUGAAAAUGAGACCGUUAAUGGACAGACUUAGUAUUUAAAAUGGCACACACUGUAAGGGCAGAGAUCCUGUAAUUUUUGCCAGCUCACAUUUUUCGGAAAGGCAUUUCAUCAGCUGAACAAUUGGUCUCUUUUUACACUAGAUCUGCACUUCGGCAUGCUUGCAUAAAUUCCUCUUGCUGCCAGAGCUCGCCUGGUUACCUGCCAUCUGUGGUGCUGAGUCUGCUGGUGUGGAUCUGUGCCACUUGCUCUCCGUAAGCCCUCUGACAAGCCCUGGACUUGUUCUCCCUUUGUGGACCAUUUCUGUUCUGCCAGCUGGAUUCACCCUCAGGAGCCAGUGCUUGACAGUCUGCUUUUGUUCUCUAAGUUUUCUACUGCUCUAAUAAACUGUCUGUUUUCCAGCCA